GUAGGUGAACCUGCGGAAGGAUCAUUACAAAUCGGUUUGGUUUGGUGGGGUGGGUGGAGGGGAGUGAGUGAGCGUGUUGAGUGGAUGAGAAAUCAUGUCACAUAACCCGCCCGCCACACCCAUCGGCCCCACCGCACCUUCCAACAUAUGCACAAGGUCGAAGGAUCUUGAUGUUUACGCUUGUUUGUUUGACAAAUUCAUUUUACAAUACUAAAAUAUACAACUUUUAACAAUGGAUCUCUUGGCUCUU
Molecule: unclassified non-coding RNA, 250 nt
Filed under: plant metagenome
Description: partial contains small subunit ribosomal RNA, internal transcribed spacer 1, and 5.8S ribosomal RNA
Source: RNAcentral